AGUGAGUGGGAGCUCCCACACUCCCGGAGUCACGAACAGCUGCAACAUCUUUUUGCAACGGUGGUUUUACCAAAAAAGGAAAAAUAUAAAUAAGAAGUACCAGAGUAUAAACCAAGUAAUGUCACACUUGAAUAGGAAGCGACGUGGCUGCACGGCAUCUUGCGCAUUAGCAGUGUUGUUUACAAAUUGACGCGCGAAUAACGGUCAAGGGGAAAAUAAACCUUUCUCAGAUUUGGAAUCUUGUCAAAACUGUGCCCAUGUAGUCAUUUUGCUUUUGGAAGGGAUGCAGCUGAUCCUUCACACACAUUUCUAAAGAUCCAAAGCUGACACCGCUACUAGACCAAGGGUUUUUUCUGGAUUUUUCUCCUGGACAUUUUAAAAAGCUUGUUAAUUAUCCUGUUUUGUGAGCAAAUGGGAAAGUGGGACCCGGACACCGCAGCUGAAUUGGUCACUUGUGUGGGCAUAUUUAGAGGCCAGGCAUGGAUUUAAUGAGUAUUGAGGUACGGC
Polypterus senegalus (gray bichir) is the source of this 507-nucleotide long non-coding RNA. RefSeq lists it as uncharacterized. NCBI's taxonomy places the organism in Eukaryota, Metazoa, Chordata, Cladistia, Polypteriformes, Polypteridae. The record is from RefSeq and is a predicted model, not a curated record. The transcript has 3 exons.